RNAcentral lists this ribosomal RNA (323 nucleotides) under Escherichia coli. Its description in RNAcentral is "bacterial SSU rRNA". It matches the Rfam family "Bacterial small subunit ribosomal RNA", at positions 1185 to 1507 of the family's 1533-position model. Lineage: Bacteria; Pseudomonadati; Pseudomonadota; Gammaproteobacteria; Enterobacterales; Enterobacteriaceae. The record is from RNAcentral.
UCAAGUCAUCAUGGCCCUUACGACCAGGGCUACACACGUGCUACAAUGGCGCAUACAAAGAGAAGCGACCUCGCGAGAGCAAGCGGACCUCAUAAAGUGCGUCGUAGUCCGGAUUGGAGUCUGCAACUCGACUCCAUGAAGUCGGAAUCGCUAGUAAUCGUGGAUCAGAAUGCCACGGUGAAUACGUUCCCGGGCCUUGUACACACCGCCCGUCACACCAUGGGAGUGGGUUGCAAAAGAAGUAGGUAGCUUAACCUUCGGGAGGGCGCUUACCACUUUGUGAUUCAUGACUGGGGUGAAGUCGUAACAAGGUAACCGUAGGG